UACGGGGGGAGCAAGCGUUGUUCGGAUUUACUGGGCGUAAAGGGCGCGUAGGCGGCCAGUGCAAGUCAGUUGUGAAAUCUCCGAGCUUAACUCGGAAAGGUCAACUGAUACUGCUCGGCUAGAGUGCGGAAGGGGCAACUGGAAUUCUUGGUGUAGCGGUGAAAUGCGUAGAUAUCAGCAGGAACACCCGUGGCGAAGGCGGCUUCCUGGAUCACCCCUGACGCUGAGACGCGAAAGCGUGGGGAGCGAACGGG
RNAcentral lists this ribosomal RNA (254 nucleotides) under uncultured bacterium. RNAcentral describes it as "partial 16S ribosomal RNA". It matches the Rfam family "Bacterial small subunit ribosomal RNA", at positions 524 to 776 of the family's 1533-position model. The record is from RNAcentral.